AUUGAACGCUGGCGGCAGGCCUAACACAUGCAAGUCGAGCGAACGGCGGACGGGUGAGUAAUGUAUGGGGACUGCCUGAUAGAGGGGGGUAACUACUCGAAACGGUGGCUAAUAUCGCAUAUUGUCGGAUAACCCUUAUGGGAUUAGCUAGUAGGUAAGGUAAUGGCUUACCUAGGCGACGAUCCCUAGCUGGUCGGAGAGGUUGAUCAGCCACACGGGGACUGAGACACGGCCCGGACUCCUACGGAGGCAGCAGUGGGGAAUGUUGCACAAUGGGCGCAAGCCUGAUGCAGCCAUGCCGCGUGUAUGAAGAAGGCCCUAGGGUUGUAAAGUACUUUCAGUCGGGAGGCGUUACCGACAGAAGAAGCACCGGCUAACUCCGUGCCAGCAGCCGCGGUAAUAC
This 403-nucleotide ribosomal RNA is filed under the name uncultured bacterium. Its description in RNAcentral is "partial 16S ribosomal RNA". It matches the Rfam family "Bacterial small subunit ribosomal RNA", at positions 30 to 526 of the family's 1533-position model. The record is from RNAcentral.